UCUGGUUGAUUCUGCCAGUAGUCAUAUGCUUGUCUCAAAGAUUAAGCCAUGCAUGUCUAAGUAUAAGCACUUUAUACUGUGAAACUGCGAAUGGCUCAUUAAAUCAGUUAUCGUUUAUUUGAUAGUACCUUACUACAUGGAUACCUGUGGUAAUUCUAGAGCUAAUACAUGCUGAAAACCUCGACUUCGGAAGGGGUGUAUUUAUUAGAUAAAAAACCAAUGCCCUUCGGGGCUCCUUGGUGAAUCAUAAUAACUUAACGAAUCGCAUGGCCUUGCGCCGGCGAUGGUUCAUUCAAAUUUCUGCCCUAUCAACUUUCGAUGGUAGGAUAGUGGCCUACCAUGGUGGCAACGGGUAACGGGGAAUUAGGGUUCGAUUCCGGAGAGGGAGCCUGAGAAACGGCUACCACAUCCAAGGAAGGCAGCAGGCGCGCAAAUUACCCAAUCCCGACACGGGGAGGUAGUGACAAUAAAUACUGAUACGGGGCUCUUUUGGGUCUCGUAAUUGGAAUGAGUACAAUCUAAAUCCCUUAACGAGGAACAAUUGGAGGGCAAGUCUGGUGCCAGCAGCCGCGGUAAUUCCAGCUCCAAUAGCGUAUAUUAAAGUUGUUGCAGUUAAAAAGCUCGUAGUUGAACCUUGGGUCUGGCUGGCCGGUCCGCCUCACCGCGAGUACUGGUCCGGCUGGACCUUUCCUUCUGGGGAAUCUCAUGGCCUUCACUGGCUGUGGGGGGAACCAGGACUUUUACUGUGAAAAAAUUAGAGUGUUCAAAGCAGGCCUUUGCUCGAAUACAUUAGCAUGGAAUAAUAGAAUAGGACGUGCGGUUCUAUUUUGUUGGUUUCUAGGACCGCCGUAAUGAUUAAUAGGGAUAGUCGGGGGCGUCAGUAUUCAGCUGUCAGAGGUGAAAUUCUUGGAUUUGCUGAAGACUAACUACUGCGAAAGCAUUCGCCAAGGAUGUUUUCAUUAAUCAGGGAACGAAAGUUAGGGGAUCGAAGACGAUCAGAUACCGUCGUAGUCUUAACCAUAAACUAUGCCGACUAGGGAUCG
Molecule: ribosomal RNA, 1043 nt
Filed under: Talaromyces pinophilus
Lineage: Eukaryota; Fungi; Ascomycota; Eurotiomycetes; Eurotiales; Trichocomaceae
Description: SSU rRNA
Rfam family: Eukaryotic small subunit ribosomal RNA
Source: RNAcentral